CACACACUCCCGGGAUCAAAGCGAUCCUGUGACCCGGGAUCUCAUGGCAUAUGACAAGAGAGUGAAUCCUCCCCGAAUCUCAUUCUAUCCUUCUUUCGAAUUAUAGCAGACACAGACACUUUCAUCGGUGGCCUCUACAUGUAUUACAUUCAAUGUGCACCCCAUGUCCUUUGUGGCUGUAUCUUCACCCUUUUCCUUGUGGUUCAUUCGGGGCCUUCACCAUGGGCCUUUAUGCAAGGCACGUGUACAGUGAGGUCAUCAGUUCAACAGCUCCCUCUUUCGUUUAAAAUCAGAUGGCGCCCCAGCUUCACACCCAGACACUUCAGCUUUCAAUGCACCAGCUCCAUAUAACACACAGUUCGAAAGGAUGCAGCUGAUGAAAGGUGGUGCUUAUCUCCAAGAAGGGGCUCCACCUCCCAGAAAUACAGUCUUCCACUGGAGUGGCACAUGGGGUCGGGAGUCUUCCCUUUAAAGGUAAUACCUAAUAUUUCCUUUCAAUUCUUGACCCUAGCCUUCAAAGAGGCUUUUAUUAAGAUACAGCAUUGUUAGUUAAACUAUUUCUCUUGCAAAUCGGUAAUCUGCCCUCAUUUACCUACUCAGACAAUUACUUUUAUUUUUGUGAGGUAAUGGAAGUAAUGCUGUUGGCCUUCUAAAGCAUGUUGGAUAAUGAUCAAUCAUUAAAGAUAGUUUUGUCUGUGGCGAAAUUUGUUUUUACUUUACUCGUAUCUUUUUCUCCUGCACACACAUUAAGGAGUGGGAGCUGAGCAGCUCUUGGUUUUGAAUGGCAGUGGCACUCAUAUCAGUGAGCAUAAUGUUUACUCUUGUGGGGCAGGCGACUAAUACAUCAUGUCGUAGGGGAAUUUUGAUUAAGUCAUGUGUGUUUAUUUUAUUGUGUUUGCAGUGUAUUAUCAGGUUGUGAACAGUGCCAGCAAGGCUCCAUAAGCCAGUUUGGGACCAGCUAAAUGUCCAGAAGGUGGUUAAUUGAAGUGAUGGGUUCAAGCGUCCACACAGAGCAGCUCUGAAAGCAGCUGACAUGCUGACUUUAAUCCAGCUUUUGUCAACACUGAAAGGGGCUUCAAUGUCAUGCUUUGCUGUGUCAGUUGACAGCAAAACCUGCCACACCCAUCACAUUUCACCGACCUGA
Scophthalmus maximus (turbot) is the source of this 1144-nucleotide long non-coding RNA. RefSeq lists it as uncharacterized. The record is from RefSeq and is a predicted model, not a curated record. NCBI's taxonomy places the organism in Eukaryota, Metazoa, Chordata, Actinopteri, Pleuronectiformes, Scophthalmidae. The transcript is spliced from 4 exons.